AGAUAACACCCGAACCUUGCUGCCGAGGUGAGAUAAAGCGCAGGGAAAGUCUACAAUACGUUCCCGUAAAGGCGCAAAGGGGUGAACUGUGGCUAACCGUUGGGCCUUCAUUGAACAGGCACAAGCAGCUUUCGGCUUCAAAUCCAUGUAAAGGUCGACAGCAGUGGCCCCGGCUAUUAAGGUGACUAGAACAAACAGGAAUGUUCUGCACAAGAGAGACACGAUCCCUAUAAUUCCUGGAGUGCAUUGUUGUAAGCGUUUGUCUAUUCCCAAAGCACGAGUAGAGACAGCUACUUGAGAGCCCGCGACGAGAAUCUGGUUUUCGUCCGAAUCUCUGGUUCUGAAAGUCGAAUUUGGGGUCGAACCAAACACCAAGGAAGUGCCGUCUGUUUGUCAGCAGGCGUACGAUCUCUGGGAAGGCAGUCGCGUGCUUGGGGUUUUGAUGCCAUGUCUUCAAAUCAUCAAGACUUCCUUUUCGAGUCUUCCCUGGCUUUGCUGACUGUGGCUACUGAUGCUGUCUUGCCGAGUAGCUCAUGCUAAAAAAUAAAGGAAUUCAGGGUCCGAUGAUAACAUCUAUACUCUAGUGGUCUCCGACCACAACAGAUUCACGCUCUCACCAGUAGGGCACAAUCGCACGCAUACUUCUCUCGUGCU
Long non-coding RNA from Dermacentor albipictus, 654 nucleotides. RefSeq lists it as uncharacterized. Lineage: Eukaryota; Metazoa; Arthropoda; Arachnida; Ixodida; Ixodidae. The record is from RefSeq and is a predicted model, not a curated record.